AUUGAACGCUGGCGGCAUGCUUUACACAUGCAAGUCGAACGGUAACAGGCCGCAAGGUGCUGACGAGUGGCGGACGGGGGAGUAAUGCAUCGGAACGUGCCCAGUCGUGGGGGAUAACUACUCGAAAGAGUAGCUAAUACCGCAUACGAUCUAUGGAUGAAAGCGGGGGACCGUAAGGCCUCGCGCGAUUGGAGCGGCCGAUGUCAGAUUAGGUAGUUGGUGGGGUAAAGGCUCACCAAGCCAACGAUCUGUAGCUGGUCUGAGAGGACGACCAGCCACACUGGGACUGAGACACGGCCCAGACUCCUACGGGAGGCAGCAGUGGGGAAUUUUGGACAAUGGGCGCAAGCCUGAUCCAGCAAUGCCGCGUGCAGGAAGGAGGCCUUCGGGUUGUAAACUGCUUUUGUACGGAACGAAACGGCUCUGGUUAAUACCCGGGGCUAAUGACGGUACCGUAAGAAUAAGCACCGGCUAACUACGUG
This 482-nucleotide ribosomal RNA is filed under the name uncultured bacterium. Its description in RNAcentral is "partial 16S ribosomal RNA". It matches the Rfam family "Bacterial small subunit ribosomal RNA", at positions 30 to 507 of the family's 1533-position model. The record is from RNAcentral.